UAGGGAAUAUUGCACAAUGGAGGAAACUCUGAUGCAGCGACGCCGCGUGAGUGAUGAAGGCCUUCGGGUCGUAAAGCUCUGUCGCAGGGGAAUAAUAAAGUGAAUGUACCCUGAAAGAAAGGAUCGGCUAACUUCGUGCCAGCAGCCGCGGUAAGACGAGGGAUCCUAGCGUUGUUCGGAAUUAUUGGGCGUAAAGCGGGUGUAGGUGGCUUUGUAAGUCAGGUGUGAAAGCCCAGGGCUCAACCCUGGAAGUGCAUUUGAUACUGCGAAGCUUGAGUGUAGGAGAGGUUACUAGAAUUCUUGGUGUAGUGGUGAAAUACGUAGAUAUCAAGAGGAAUACCGGAGGCGAAGGCGGGUAACUGGCCUAACACUGACACUCAGACCCGAAAGCGUGGGGAUCAAACAGGAUUAGAUACCCCGGUAGUCC
RNAcentral lists this ribosomal RNA (427 nucleotides) under uncultured bacterium. RNAcentral's name for it is "bacterial SSU rRNA". It matches the Rfam family "Bacterial small subunit ribosomal RNA", at positions 355 to 796 of the family's 1533-position model. The record is from RNAcentral.